UAGCUAGUUGGUGAGGUAAAGGCUUACCAAGGCGACGAUCUGUAGCGGGUCUGAGAGGAUGAUCCGCCACACUGGAACUGAGACACGGUCCAGACUCCUACGGGAGGCAGCAGUGGGGAAUUUUGGACAAUGGGGGCAACCCUGAUCCAGCCAUGCCGCGUGAGUGAAGAAGGCCUUCGGGUUGUAAAGCUCUUUCGGCCGGGAAGAAAUCGCAUGGGCCAAUACCCUGUGUGGAUGACGGUACCGGAAUAAGAAGCACCGGCUAACUACGUGCCAGCAGCCGCGGUAAUACGUAGGGUGCGAGCGUUAAUCGGAAUUACUGGGCGUAAAGCGUGCGCAGGCGGUUUUGUAAGACAGGCGUGAAAUCCCCGGGCUUAACCUGGGAACUGCGUUUGUGACUGCAAGGCUAGAGUACGGCAGAGGGGGGUGGAAUUCCACGUGUAGCAGUGAAAUGCGUAGAGAUGUGGAGGAACACCAAUGGCGAAGGCAGCCCCCUGGGUCGAUACUGACGCUCAUGCACGAAAGCGUGGGUAGCAAACAGGAUUAGAUACCCUGGUAGUCCACGCCCUAAACUAUGUCAACUAGGUGUUGGGUGGGUAAAACCAUUUAGUACCGUAGCUAACGCGUGAAGUUGACCGCCUGGGGAGUACGGCCGCAAGGUUAAAACUCAAAGGAAUUGACGGGGACCCGCACAAGCGGUGGAUGAUGUGGAUUAAUUCGAUGCAACGCGAAAAACCUUACCUACCCUUGACAUGCCAGGAACUUGCCAGAGAUGGCUUGGUGCCCGAAAGGGAGCCUGGACACAGGUGCUGCAUGGCUGUCGUCAGCUCGUGUCGUGAGAUGUUGGGUUAAGUCCCGCAACGAGCGCAACCCUUGUCGUUAAUUGCCAUCAUUUAGUUGGGCACUUUAACGAGACUGCCGGUGACAAACCGGAGGAAGGUGGGGAUGACGUCAAGUCCUCAUGGCCCUUAUGGGUAGGGCUUCACACGUCAUACAAUGGUCGGUACAAAGGGUUGCCAAGCCGCGAGGCGGAGCCAAUCCCAGAAAGCCGAUCGUAGUCCGGAUUGCAGGCUGCAACUCGCCUGCAUGAAGUCGGACUCGCUAGUAAUCGUGGAUCAGCAUGUCACGGUGAAUACGUUCCCGGGUCUUGUACACACCGCCCGUCACACCAUGGGAGCGGGUUCCGCCAGAAGUAGGUAGCCUAACCGCAAGGGGGGCGCUUACCACGGCGGGGUUCGUGACUGGGGUGAAGUCGUAACAAGGUAGCCGUAGGGGAACCUGCGGCUG
Molecule: ribosomal RNA, 1287 nt
Filed under: metagenome
Description: bacterial SSU rRNA
Rfam family: Bacterial small subunit ribosomal RNA
Source: RNAcentral